This is a long non-coding RNA of Limulus polyphemus (Atlantic horseshoe crab), 544 nucleotides long. RefSeq lists it as uncharacterized. The record is from RefSeq and is a predicted model, not a curated record. NCBI's taxonomy places the organism in Eukaryota, Metazoa, Arthropoda, Merostomata, Xiphosura, Limulidae. The transcript has 2 exons.
AAUGAUCUCUACUAUUUUAUCUUGAAUGUAUGUCUAAAGUUUUUAAUCAACAAAUAAAACCUUUGAAAUUUUAGGUAUAAUAACACUUUAUUACUAACAUAAAUGUAAACUUGCUUACCUCAGAAGCCUCCCCACGGCUAGUUGACCGAGUUCUCAUUUAAUCUUAUAUCUUCCUCUUAUAUGUGCAUAAGUUUUAAGUCUUUCAUGAUCAUUGGUAAGCAUAUUUUAUAUGUUUUAUUAAGUAUUAAUUUUUGUGUUAUGUUUAGUGCAAACCAGUUAUGGAACCCAACUAAUUCGUUGUGGCACAACCAGGAUUCUGUUAGAGAGUAUGACCGUUCAAACUUUGAUUCGCUAAUUGCUCAUCUACAGAGACUACGAACAGAGCGAAGCUAGUCGACAUGAGAACAAUAUGCUGGAAUACAAUGUAACCGAAGAUCUAUAAUAACCUUUUGCACACAACAGUGUUGAUUAUCAUGAAUUACACAAAUCUUGUAUACUAGUGUAAAUAAUGUUCAACAUAAAGUAUUGUUUGUAGUCUACAGAA